CAGCAGCCGCGGUAAAACGAAGGGUGCAAGCGUUAAUCGGAAUUACUGGGCGUAAAGCGCGCGUAGGUGGUUCAUUAAGUUGGAUGUGAAAGCCCUGGGCUCAACCUGGGAACUGCAUCCAAAACUGGUGAGCUAGAGUACGGUAGAGGGUAGUGGAAUUUCCUGUGUAGCGGUGAAAUGCGUAGAUAUAGGAAGGAACACCAGUGGCGAAGGCGACUACCUGGACUGAUACUGACACUGAGGUGCGAAAGCGUGGGGAGCAAACAGGAUUAGAUACCCGCGUAGUCCCUGUCUCUUAUAA
RNAcentral lists this ribosomal RNA (301 nucleotides) under uncultured bacterium. RNAcentral's name for it is "partial 16S ribosomal RNA". It matches the Rfam family "Bacterial small subunit ribosomal RNA", at positions 509 to 809 of the family's 1533-position model. The record is from RNAcentral.